CUUGAGGGGAAUGUUGGCUGGCUCGAGGCUUUUUUCACAAGAAGAUAGAGAGACAAAGGUUGUAUAUAUAAACUUUCUCAUCAUUGAUCUUCUCUUCUCCUUUCCUCUUCUCUUCACUCAGCAAGAGAGAGAGAGAGAGUCCACUGAGUAAGAGAGAUGGAGAAAGUUAAACACAUAUAUACAACUGAAGUACUCUAAGAGGCUUCGGACCAGGCUUCAUUCCCCUCAAAAUAUAAGCUACUACUAUUGCAGAACGGGCCACACAUGGUUUUGAAGCAGGCAUAUUGAUAGCUAUGUUGAGAGGAACGUCGUCUGGCUCGAGGUCAUUGAGGUUGAUUCAAUCGAUCCAACUGAGCCCUACAUGAUUCUCGGACCAGGCUUCGUUCCUCCCAAC
This 394-nucleotide long non-coding RNA is filed under the name Rosa chinensis. RNAcentral's name for it is "sRNA RchiOBHm_Chr2g0123931". The stretch from base 296 to 394 matches the Rfam family "mir-166 microRNA precursor family". Lineage: Eukaryota; Viridiplantae; Streptophyta; Magnoliopsida; Rosales; Rosaceae. The record is from RNAcentral.